This is a long non-coding RNA of Ornithorhynchus anatinus (platypus), 1481 nucleotides long. RefSeq lists it as uncharacterized. The record is from RefSeq and is a predicted model, not a curated record. NCBI's taxonomy places the organism in Eukaryota, Metazoa, Chordata, Mammalia, Monotremata, Ornithorhynchidae. The transcript is spliced from 10 exons.
AAUUGAUGAAAAUCAGCAGUUGUUGGAGUAUGCAAUACCAGCAUCACAAAUUCAAAGCGCUACUGGUUGUGAAACGGAAUCACAAAAGUGUCUGAGACCCGUCGGAAGAAAACGAGAGGUUCAUGAACAAUUUCAGACCCAGAAUUUGGGCAGAGGUUGGAGUUGCCAUUGAAGACACUGGAAUUAAGAUAAGCCUGUAACAAUAAUCCCACACAGCUCUCCAGUGAAGGAAAAUAAUCAGCAACCACCCCACUGACGAGACCGCUGCUCAGUGAGCAUCCAGAGCACCGAAACAGUUGAGCCGGUAGAUUUACCUAGAACUGAAACCUCGCUCAGCUUUCCUCCCAAGAGGAGACACGUCCUUCGUAUAGGUUUGUCGGCGGUAACGAAGGAGCCGAGAGGCUACACGUGGGAUGAAUCACAGCUGACCUGAGUUUGCUCAUUAACCUUAUCCCACGAGGAACUACUAAUACCUUCGCGGGGAGAAGCCAUUCUCGGUUGGGAAGUCAGAAGAGAGCAACUUUCUUUCUCCUCUAAGCAGAGAAUAGGGAGCUCCCAGCAGAGCGUGUGGAGAGAUCAGAGGCUGUCGGAAUGCCCGGAGAGAGGCUGUCCAUCCUGGCCAAACUGCCUGAUCGCUGGAAUCCGUAGAGCAAAAUGCCGUGCUGACUCCCAAAGGUUUCCGUGACCUCCGUCAUCCUUGGCAGCCAUUCUUCAAGCGUCUUUUGGGACCAUCACUGAUGACAAGAUACUUGACUGGAUCCACCACUGGGCUGAUCCCUUGCUGGCCAGGAGUCCGCUCGGAGGCAGGAUGACGGUUCUUCCUGUGUUCGGAAAUACUUCCACAAAGAGUCACGCGAAGAAGUCGCUCCGAAGAGACCAAGUGCUGUAGUAGGAUGAGGAAAUGUGGAAAGGCGAAUCGACUAGAUAAGCACGGGUGGGCCAAGGUCCGGCCCACCCCCGAUGUUUCUGGAAGAACCGGGACCAGGGGAUUUAGCGUCCGACCACCCUGAACUCAGCGGUCACUUGAGGGAUCGUCUUCCUCGGCCCGCCCCGGACACCACAGUCGCACGGACGAUUCCGUCCUAAAACGGGCGUCUCCGAGAAGGCGUCGAGUCAUCGGGGGCUCGGUCGAAGACACCUCGGGGGGACAUCGCAAGAGCGCGAGGCCGGAGACCGAAGGGUAAAAAGAGAUACCGGGGAAAUGAGAAAGCUGGAUUCUGCGGAUAAAGUACUCGCCGGCAGACCGAGCCCCCGGAGCCAAUUCGAUACGGACGAGAGGCGUCCGAACUGUCCUCGGAGAGCUUCCAUUUAGCGGAGGGAGAACGGGCUGCGCCGCUUAUCCGCUGUGUGGCUUUGGGCAGGUCACUCGCCUUCUCCGUCCCUCAGAUACCAAAUUGGUAAAAUGAGAAUUAAAUCCUCCUCCCUCUGACAGACUGGGAGCCCCUUCGGGACAGGGACUGUGUCCAACCUGAUUAGUGAGC